Molecule: ribosomal RNA, 497 nt
Filed under: uncultured bacterium
Lineage: Bacteria
Description: partial 16S ribosomal RNA
Rfam family: Bacterial small subunit ribosomal RNA
Source: RNAcentral
GAUGAACGCUGGCGGCGUGCCUAAUACAUGCGAGUCGAGCGAACAGACGAGGAGCUUGCUCCUCUGACGUUAGCGGCGGACGGGUGAGUAACACGUGGAUAACCUACCUAUAAGACUGGGAUAACUUCGGGAAACCGGAGCUAAUACCGGAUAAUAUAUUGAACCGCAUGGUUCAAUAGUGAAAGACGGUUUUGCUGUCACUUAUAGAUGGAUCCGCGCCGCAUUAGCUAGUUGGUAAGGUAACGGCUUACCAAGGCAACGAUGCGUAGCCGACCUGAGAGGGUGAUCGGCCACACUGGAACUGAGACACGGUCCAGACUCCUACGGGAGGCAGCAGUAGGGAAUCUUCCGCAAUGGGCGAAAGCUUGACGGAGCAACGCCGCGUGAGUGUUGAAGGUCUUCGGAUCGUAAAACUCUGUUAUUAGGGAAGAACAAAUGUGUAAGUAACUAUGCACGUCUUGACGGUACCUAAUCAGAAAGCCACGGCUAACUACGUG